GAUGAACGCUGGCGGCGUGCCUAAUACAUGCAAGUCGAGCGAACAGAUAAGGAGCUUGCUCCUUUUACGUUAGCGGCGGACGGGUGAGUAACACGUGGGUAACCUACCUAUAAGACUGGGAUAACUUCGGGAAACCGGAGCUAAUACCGGAUAACAUUUGGAACCGCAUGGUUCUAAAGUGAAAGAUGGUUUUGCUAUCACUUAUAGAUGGACCCGCGCCGUAUUAGCUAGUUGGUAAGGUAACGGCUUACCAAGGCGACGAUACGUAGCCGACCUGAGAGGGUGAUCGGCCACACUGGAACUGAGACACGGUCCAGACUCCUACGGGAGGCAGCAGUAGGGAAUCUUCCGCAAUGGGCGAAAGCCUGACGGAGCAACGCCGCGUGAGUGAUGAAGGGUUUCGGCUCGUAAAACUCUGUUAUUAGGGAAGAACAAAUGUGUAAGUAACUGUGCACGUCUUGACGGUACCUAAUCAGAAAGCCACGGCUAACUACGUG
RNAcentral lists this ribosomal RNA (497 nucleotides) under uncultured bacterium. RNAcentral describes it as "partial 16S ribosomal RNA". It matches the Rfam family "Bacterial small subunit ribosomal RNA", at positions 28 to 507 of the family's 1533-position model. The record is from RNAcentral.